This 253-nucleotide ribosomal RNA is filed under the name uncultured bacterium. RNAcentral's name for it is "partial 16S ribosomal RNA". It matches the Rfam family "Bacterial small subunit ribosomal RNA", at positions 524 to 776 of the family's 1533-position model. The record is from RNAcentral.
UACGGAGGGUGCGAGCGUUAUCCGGAUUUACUGGGUUUAAAGGGUGCGUAGGCUGCUAGGUAAGUCAGAGGUGGAAGUUGAUCGCUUAACGAUAAAAUUGCCUUUGAUACUGCUUAGCUUGAGUUAUAGUGAGGUUGGCGGAAUGAGACAUGUAGCGGUGAAAUGCUUAGAGAUGUCUUAGAACACCGAUUGCGAAGGCAGCUGACUGGCUAUACACUGACGCUGAGGCACGAAAGCGUGGGGAUCAAACAGG